GUUGUGGCAGUCAACAUCUGGACAAGAACUAAAGGGACAAAAACACAGAUGGAUGAAAACACAAAACACUUCCUCUCUCAGUGGCAGAAACAUGUAACAGUAGCUGACGGUGCGUUCAGGUGCUGUCAGGUUAUUUCUUAUCUCCUUGUGUUAAAUGUGGGUCAGUGAUGUGAAAGCUGUCAGUUAA
Molecule: long non-coding RNA, 187 nt
Organism: Micropterus salmoides (largemouth bass)
Lineage: Eukaryota; Metazoa; Chordata; Actinopteri; Centrarchiformes; Centrarchidae
Exons: 3
Source: RefSeq, a predicted model, not a curated record